UGGCGUUCAAUUCGUCUUUUCAAUGGAAACAUAACAGCAUUUUAUUGCUCAGGAGAUGAGGGUUAUGGGAGAUACAUGGAGAUAGCACUCAAGCAACGAUACUCAUCCUAGGGCCACCAUAGCCGCAGGCUUCACUUCCGUUUAAUUUGCAUUUUUUCAAUCUCUACAUCCCAUCUUACUCUAUGUAUCUAUUUUUAACCUAAUCAAUCUAUGUUCUUUUUCUAUUUGUAUGGGUUCAAGGACAAUUGUGCUAACUCAGGGUGUUCAGAUCUAGGGUUCUGACAAAAUGGAGAUGGUUACGGGUUCCGGUGGCGAGUGUUAGACAACUAUCAGAGGAAGAUCGACCUUCCAACCAUGCUACGGCAAAGAUUCCGGCAACUACGAUGAAUGUUUGUGGCUUACCCGAUUGUGACGUGUUAUUGGUUCGGUUUGUUGCCGACCCGAAUCUUUAUGUCCAGUUGGAGUUCGUAGCUAGGGGCGUCUUCUCAGCAACCGUGGUUCAUGACUAAUACGCUGUUAUUGUUGUGCCUGAUUAUAUUCUUCCAUACGCUAAGGCUUCUUCUGUAAGCCUUUCAUAAAUUAUAAUCAGUUGAGAGAUGACGAGAUGAGCAGAAGGCAUAGCAUCGCGGCGUCCUCUGUGAGAGAUGACGAGAGUAUGGACAGUUCGCCGUCGGUUCCGAGUUUCCUAUUUUACCGCACUAUUGUGUGCAUAGUCAUUGCUAGAAUGGCUUUAUAGUAUGUAUUUUAGCAUCUGUGUUAAACUUAAAAACGAAAGUCGAGGUGGCGGUUGUGUAGGAAGUCGUGGCGGUGGUCGAGGUUGAAGUCGAGGCGGAGGUGGAGGCGGUGGAGAAGGCGGAGCUUUGUCGACUCUACUGCAACACUCACGAGGUUCUUGAAAAUCAUAAAAAUGGGAAAAAACAUGAAUAGAAUAUGGAAAUACAGGAAGAAUUACAGCGGCUUGCGGGAAAAACACAAAUGUCGGUUCCCAUGGAUAGCCGGAAGUCAAAGUCGAAAGUCAAAUGAUGCAGGCUGAAGAACAAGGGAACAGUUUAAAGAGAAAAAUGAGAGAGGGAAUACUAACCAAUUAUUGUUGCAAUGUUCUUGACAUCAGUCGUAAGGAAUCGAGAUGGUGAAGUCACGUUAUACCCUUUUCAGAACCAAACAUUUCUCCUUUAAGUGGGAACCCUCAUUUGUUUAGAGUUCAUACGUUCGGGCUGCAGUGGACCUGGCUUUUAUAUAUGGGGAGAUGCGGAUCUUUUUAGCUACAGGAGAGGUUUAUUGACACGUCUUAGUGGAAAGGUGAAAAAAAUGAAGUUCAGUAUCAAUUUCAGUGAGCCAACCUUAGGUUAAAAUGCUUAAUAUGUGCUCUGAAGAGAGUCCCUUGUUAUGGAUGCUUAGUGAGUUGGUGAAGCUAGCAAACCACAAGAGUUCAGUGGCCAAUCUUAUUUUUGCAUGUUUGCAUUGCUGAAUAUUUCCAUCGCUUAUUCAACCAUAUUUUUUCUCACGGUAUAUUGUUUUGUAUUAUUAAAGUAUAUUGUUUGAAAAUGGAAUUGGAUUAUAAUAUCUUGGACAAACCUUAUUAGUUUAGAAAGGUCCCGUUCUCUUUUAAGAUACAAAUAUAUCUACGCAUUUGACUGGU
Molecule: long non-coding RNA, 1639 nt
Filed under: Helianthus annuus (common sunflower)
Lineage: Eukaryota; Viridiplantae; Streptophyta; Magnoliopsida; Asterales; Asteraceae
Description: hypothetical non coding rna
Source: RNAcentral